AUGGUAAUUGUCACAACUCGAUUCCCAAAGGUAGCAGACAUGGUGAAAACACUUGAUCCACUAGAGCUGCGAGGUUUGGAGUCUAAUGACUUCUUCACAUUCUUUGAAGCAUGUAUAUUUGGUGAUCACAAGCCUGAGCAUUACGAAUAUGAGUUAGCUGAUAUUGCAGGAAAAAUUGCAAAUAAGCUAAAGGGUUCCCCACUAGCAGCCAAAACAGUUGGUGGACUAUUGCGCAAGGACCUAUCUCAGGAACAUUGGAAUGAAGUUCUUAAAAAACAUGAGUGGCUGAAGCAGCAAAAUAAUGAUGAGAUCAUGCCAUCUUUAAAAAUUAGCUACGAUUAG
RNAcentral lists this ribosomal RNA (342 nucleotides) under Triticum aestivum (bread wheat). RNAcentral's name for it is "partial small subunit ribosomal RNA". The record is from RNAcentral. Lineage: Eukaryota; Viridiplantae; Streptophyta; Magnoliopsida; Poales; Poaceae.